RNAcentral lists this ribosomal RNA (371 nucleotides) under uncultured organism. RNAcentral's name for it is "partial 16S ribosomal RNA". It matches the Rfam family "Bacterial small subunit ribosomal RNA", at positions 527 to 896 of the family's 1533-position model. The record is from RNAcentral.
GUAGGUGGCAAGCGUUGUCCGGAAUUAUUGGGCGUAAAGCGCGCGCAGGCGGUUCUUUAAGUCUGAUGUGAAAGCCCACGGCUCAACCGUGGAGGGUCAUUGGAAACUGGAGAACUUGAGUACAGAAGAGGAAAGCGGAAUUCCACGUGUAGCGGUGAAAUGCGUAGAGAUGUGGAGGAACACCAGUGGCGAAGGCGGCUUUCUGGUCUGUAACUGACGCUGAGGCGCGAAAGCGUGGGGGCAAACAGGGAUUAGAUACCCUGGUAGUCCACGCCGUAAACGAUGAGUGCUAAGUGUUAGGGGGUUUCCGCCCCCUUAGUGCUGCAGCUAACGCAUUAAGCACUCCGCCUGGGGAUACGGCCGCAAGGCUG